AGCGAAGCGGAUAUUCUCGGUGGCACGUUGAUCGUGUGGCGCCACCUGCGUACCAACCCGAGUGCGACUGCGGGAGAGUGCCGCCGUAUGACGCUAGAUGGCGUGGGUGCUCUGUCUGGUGGCGCCGACGACUGAGACCGAAACUGAAAGUGUCAUGCUAUCAGCUGGAUUUUCAUGCAACCAGCUGAUCGUUCGAAGGCAGAAGGGUGUGGUUGGAAAAAUACCGGCAUGGUCUUUGUCUGAGCCUUUUCUGUGACGGUCGGGCUUACUUUGAGUCGUGGACCGUUCCUAUUGACCGGCGACGGGCUGCGGCUACACUACCGGAUCUGGCGGGGGUCGACGAAGAUGUUCGGCGGCUUCGUUGGUGGUGACUGACUGGUGUCCUCCGGCGGACCGUGGAGCUCCGACUGCAGCGGCUGCUACUUGGAUUCGGGCGGACCGUGGCGCUCCGGCGCCGCCGGCGGGGCAGCGGCGGCGUGGCUGUCGCGUUGCUCGGUGGAGCGCGUGAGGACGGUCGCGCGUCGCAUGACGCUCGUCUCCGGACUGCCGUACUGGGGCUGGAUGAACUCCCGACUCGCUGGCGCAGAGCGGUGGCCAGUUGGACAGCGUAGUUGGAGCGGGCGGCGCGCGCGGUCGGGGCGGGCGACACCGUCCGGUGGAACAGACUGUGGAGCUAUGCUCUGGGACGGAGCUCAGGGACGUCCGGUAUGAGCUAGUGCCGGAUGGGACUAGCUGGCCUCAGUUCCUGCUAUCGGCUGUCAGCGUGGUCGAAUUGUGCUCAGUGCGAAACAGCGGUGCCCGUGCGCGUUAACAUAGCUGGCAAGGCUGCACUACCCAGCGCUGACAGGGGUAUUUCGGACGCAUAUGUGAUGACAGUGCUAGAAUGGUCCGUGGGGCUCGUCUCAGUGUCUCAUGUCAGCGUUUGGGGGGUGGAGGAUGUGACGAGCGAAGCGGAUAUUCUCGGUGGCACGUUGAUCGUGUGGCGCCACCUGCGUACCAACCCGAGUGCGACUGCGGGAGAGUGCCGCCGUAUGACGCUAGAUGGCGUGGGUGCUCUGUCUGGUGGCGCCGACGACUGAGACCGAAACUGAAAGUGUCAUGCUAUCAGCUGGAUUUUCAUGCAACCAGCUGAUCGUUCGAAGGCAGAAGGGUGUGGUUGGAAAAAUACCGGCAUGGUCUUUGUCUGAGCCUUUUCUGUGACGGUCGGGCUUACUUUGGUAAGGAGUUUGAGUUGUUAAAAUGCUAUGAGUCGUGUGAAUUUGAGUUUUCUUGCCCUAUUGAUGUGAUUGGCGUUAUUUAAUUAGGAUUUUCUUUGUUUCUCAGAAACCUACAUGUCAAGUUGAAGGCGUCUGAGCGAUACUUCGUCUACACUGACUACCAACGUUGUACCGCAAUAUAUAUCCACGCCAAUUUCCAA
RNAcentral lists this long non-coding RNA (1417 nucleotides) under Amphibalanus amphitrite. RNAcentral's name for it is "uncharacterized LOC122390387". Lineage: Eukaryota; Metazoa; Arthropoda; Thecostraca; Balanomorpha; Balanidae. The record is from RNAcentral.